GUACGUUCGCAAGAUUAAAACUCAAAGGAUUGACGGGGGCCCGCACAAGCGUUGGAGCAUGUGUUAAAUUNGACGCAACGCGCAGAACCUUACCAACCCUUGACAUGUCUCGUAUGGUUUCCAGAGAUGGAUUCCUUCAGUUCGGCUGGCGAGAACACAGGUGUUGCAUGGCUGUCGUCAGCUCGUGUCGUGAGAUGUUGGGUUAAGUCCCGCAACGAGCGCAACCCUCGCCUUUAGUUGCCAUCAUUUAGUUGGGCACUCUAGAGGGACUGCCGGUGAUAAGCCGGAGGAAGGUGGGGAUGACGUCAAGUCCUCAUGGCCCUUACGGGUUGGGCUACACACGUGCUACAAUGGCGGCGACAAUGGGCAGCGAAGGGGCGACCCGGUGCAAAUCCCAAAAAGCCGUCUCAGUUCGGAUUGUACUCUGCAACUCGAGUGCAUGAAGGUGGAAUCGCUAGUAAUCGCGUAACAGCAUGACGCGGUGAAUACGUUCCCGGGCCUUGUACACACCGCCCGUCACACCAUGGGAGUUGGUUUUACCCGAAGCUGGUGCGCUAACCGCAAGGAGGCAGCCAACCACGGUAAGGUCAGCGACUGGGGUGAAGUCGUAACAAGG
RNAcentral lists this ribosomal RNA (616 nucleotides) under uncultured bacterium. Its description in RNAcentral is "bacterial SSU rRNA". It matches the Rfam family "Bacterial small subunit ribosomal RNA", at positions 880 to 1496 of the family's 1533-position model. The record is from RNAcentral.